This is a long non-coding RNA of Cryptotermes secundus, 446 nucleotides long. RefSeq lists it as uncharacterized. The transcript is spliced from 2 exons. The record is from RefSeq and is a predicted model, not a curated record. NCBI's taxonomy places the organism in Eukaryota, Metazoa, Arthropoda, Insecta, Blattodea, Kalotermitidae.
AAUGCAUUCAUCAGCAUGACGUCAGGAUGCAAGUUACCAUGCCUGAAUAAAAAACUGCGUUUAUAAUUUCACUUCAUAUACGUUAUAUGGAAGAGUAUGCGCGCCAAAAGGCAUAAAGAGAAGAGGAGCAAAGGCGCGUAUCAGACUAAAGAGCAGACGAAAACAGUUUAACGGGUUAAAUGGUUGAGGGCUGGAGGUUUUGACUUCAUGUGAUCUUGCGAAAGAAUAUUUUUGUGUGACAUGUUUAGUAAAACCUGAGGCAUUCGUAAAGUCGUAAAGUGUUUUAACCUGCAUCAUAAGAGAAGUAUGUCUACUGAAGAAUUCUAUGACCAGUAUUAAUGUCCAAUAUUGCCUUUGCCUACAUAAUAAGAGGCAAAAUAUUCUCAAUGACGACAGUGGUGGUGGUGGUGAUGAUGAUGACUUUAAAACAGUAAUUCUCAUAUGAA